UUUAUACUAAGAAAUGGCAUAUAUGUGAACUUGCCCAUUAUGCUCAGUUUUGAUUUAGUAUGUUCUCAUUAUUAUUGUUUAAUAAGUUUAGUUUUGAUAAUUCGAUGAUGGGAAUUUUGGUUGUGUAUGUGUUUUAAAGCUGUAAUAGGCCCAUUUUGCCCGGGCCCGUUAACAAAAAAAAAAUUAAAAUUAAAAUAAAAAGUCCCAACUUUAACAGUCCAUUUACAGCCCAAAUUUCAAAACUCAUUAACCCCAAAUUAUAGUAGCCUAGUACAAAACCCAACACCCAAUAAAAGCCCAAAAACUAAAAUCCCAAAACUAGCCCAAAUGACCCAAAAUUUCUAUUCCAAAAACUGAAACCCUAGCCAAACAGCACUACAGCUUCCACGAACGUCUCCUCGGGCCACAAGCAACCACCAGUGGCCUUCGCAACAGCCUCCAGCCAGCCGAUUUCAAAGCAGGCUCAUAGGGCCCAAAUGGUGAAGCUUCUGGAAGUCUUCGCAUUAUCGCCCACGAGCAGUUUCUCCAUGCACAGUUGUACCUGCAACGAACUAACAACCACAGCAGCAACCAGUAGAUAACAACAAUACAACAAAAAAAUAAAGAUUUUUUAUUUUAUUUAUUUUUUCCAGAAUAUUCUUGAUGUAUUUUGGCUAUAAAAAGCCGUUGUAAACACUGAAAUCGGGAUUACAAAAUAAAAAAAAAGAGAGGAAAAAGCAAUGAAAAACUAAGGUAAUUUGAUAUUGCAUUUUCCAGUGUUUCAAUUCAUUUUUCUUUUUUCAUUUCUCUACAAAAUCCCUUCGCAUAAAAGAGAAAAAAGGAAAAUGAGAGAUUUACCUUACGAGUGCUAAGAGGUUCCGUCUGUUCCGUUGAAAUCGGAGCAAAGAAGGGAUUUCAUGGCCGAAACCCGCAUCCCUCGAGGUUGGGAUAUGCUAAAUCACCGUUGACAAUGGUGGAUGAGUGUUUAAAACAGGGGAUUAGGUUUAGGUUAAGGAAGAACCAAAUGGAUGCAAGGGUUUAGGUCUGGCCGAAUGUAUAAGGCCUUAGGUUUUGUUUUAUUCUGAUUUGUUUUGUUAGUUUUAGGUUUUUGUACCUUGUUUUGUGCAAGACAUGAAACAGCGUCGUGUAUAGGGAGGGUAGAUCCGCGCGCAAGCCCGAUCCACAGGCUGGAUCCGCGCCUUGGCCUUUCGGAUGGUCAAAUUGCGCGACUAACCCUUCUUCUUCACGCAGACCUUCAAAUUGAUCCUUAUUUAUGCUUUAUUUCUUUUUAAUUCUGUCCUAGAAUUUACAUGUUUUUGCAAUGCAGCCCGCACCUGAACGUUAUUAUUUGGGAUCUGGAAUAUUUUCAAUUUUGAACCCUAGACAUUCGCGCAUAUUGUGCUUUAGUCAUUAUUUCUAUUUCAAUUGUUUUUUUAUUUUGUAAAUUAUCUCUUCUAUUUUAAUUCUGAUUUAAUUGAGUUUUCUAUUUGUAUAAUUUAUUGUUUUAAAAUUCAUUUAAUAUUUUUAUACAUGUGUUGAGUUUUUUAAUAGUUUUACUUUGUUUUUAUUUAUGUAAUUAUUUUGAAGUUUUUUUAUAUAUUAUAUUAUUUUAACAUUUUGCAUAAUAUUUAGUUUAAAUUUUUUUUAUUAUCUGUACAU
RNAcentral lists this long non-coding RNA (1638 nucleotides) under Gossypium barbadense (sea-island cotton). RNAcentral describes it as "long non-coding RNA (GBAR_LNC000565)". Lineage: Eukaryota; Viridiplantae; Streptophyta; Magnoliopsida; Malvales; Malvaceae. The record is from RNAcentral.